Molecule: long non-coding RNA, 405 nt
Filed under: Prunus dulcis (almond)
Lineage: Eukaryota; Viridiplantae; Streptophyta; Magnoliopsida; Rosales; Rosaceae
Description: sRNA ncRNA
Rfam family: U2 spliceosomal RNA (bases 1-180)
Source: RNAcentral
UUUGGCUAAGAUCAAGUGUAGUAUCUGUUCUUAUCAGUUUAAUAUCUGAUACGUGGGUCAAUGGCCCACACGAUAUUAAAUUAAUUUCUUUAAGGGGAGGGUCCACUAUAAUAGCUUGCUAUUGGGGCUCUCACGUGUCGCCCAAGCGUUGCACUGCAGCGUGGGCCUGGCGCACCCCAACAAAUCUAGUUGAAUAUUUUUGCAGACAUAUUUUAUUUUGAUUUUCUGUUCCUGUGGUGGCCCAAAAUCAUGGCCUUUUUUAUUUUGUCCUCGUAGACAUGUCGGGGGGGUCUCCUCAUGGACCAUGGAAGAUCCUGGCAAAACAUACACUUUGAAGAGAAGUAUGAUCCUCUUUAAACCAAACUAACCUAAAACAUUUUAAAAUAUGAAUAAUACUAGUCUUAC